GAGGAGGAAGCUGAUAAAGAGCUUAGAGAUGAACUUUACUUAGGGAACAAUGCGGAUGGGGAGAGGUUGGCCGAAACUAUUGGAGCUGACAGUAUGAAUAAGUUGGUUGAAGGGUUUGAAGAGAUUAGCAGUAGAGUUUUGCCUUCUCCUAUGGAUGAUGCUUACUUGGAAGCUUUGCAUACCAACUUUAUGGUGAGUAGUUCACCUUUUAAAAUUUUGUUCCAUGAUUAUUGUCAUUAUUAUUUUCAAUCAUUAGGAUUAGAUAUUAAAUUGUUUUCUUUUUUCUAUGUAUGCUAUCAGCUGAAAGAGAAUUGGCCUGGUGACACAUAUAUUAUAGACUAAAUUUUCUUGUAAGUUGUGUAGAAUUGGACUCAGGGAAUAUUUUAAGUAUAUUUUAUUUUAGAUAAAUUGCAGAGAAUUCCUAUCUGAAAAUAGAGUCACUGUGUAGCAGAAUAAUAUUAAGGGUGGAGAAUCUGAUUUCCUGUAUGGUAAAGGAGGGGGUUGGCUAGUGUGGGCAAAUCUUUCCCUAACUCGUUGUUAUGGGAAGGGAUGGGAUUAACAAUUUAAUAUGGGGGUGGGGACUAGGGAUGGGAGUGCUUUUCUUGCUUCAUAGUCUGCUUUAAUGGCAUACUUAGUCAAAGCUGGUGAUUGCUAGAUUAGAAUUAGAGUUAGUCCUAUGUUCACAGUUAUCAACAUGUCUAAUACCUUGUUUAAGGUCUCAAUGUUAAUUUGGAAGUUCAUUUACUCGUGUUUGUGCUUUUAUUUUAAAUACGAAGGUAACUUUAGUUUGCAACCGAGAGUAUGAUAAAUGAUGUAAAGUAUAACUUGAUUGAAAAACGAGGAUUAAUUUGUAUGUAUGAUGUUAAGGAUUCGAAUUCUGUCCCAUGAAUCUUAAUUGUUUUACGAUAGAAAAUGUAUAAAUGAAAAACCUGGGUUGGGACAGAGUUCUAACUGCUGUUAAUCGUCAUUAUGUUGUUUGAGGCUUAUCUAGAAUAAGAUAGUAGAUGGGCUUUAGGGGUGACAAGUACAGAAAUAAGUUUUAAUCUGAAAGAUAUGCCUCAGUAAUUUAUUUAUUUUAUAAUCUAUGAGGCUGGUAAUACUCUAUAGCUAUGUUGGGCUCUAAUUGGUUGGUGUGAAAUUAUAUUCACAUUGCUGCCCUUGCAUUCUGUAAUUUGUUCAGAAUAAUUUAAUAUAUUCUUGUUGAUUUUCAAUGAUUCACUUGUUCUGACGAUAAUGUACGGCAAAUUGUUUGAUAUUCCUGAAGUUGUUCAAGGAGUGUAUUUUUGGUUUGUUCUUGAAAAUUCUUGUAUUAGAUGGCUAUUAUGAGCUCAUUGUCAAUUACUUUGAUUAAUCAAGAAAAUUGGAAUUUGUGUUUACUUGCAUGCUACAUAACAGUUUGGGCUGGUAAGUCAUCUGAUUCUUUUUCUUAGUAAUUACUGUUUAUAAAGGCUUUUUGGUAUGUAAUUAAAUGAUUACCAGUUUGCUCAGUUCAUUAGGAUUGUUUAGAAGGUAUAUACUUGGUUGCUAUAAGUUUUCCUUGGACUAGAAUUUUAGGUAAUGCGAAGCAUUGCUAACAAAUAGGUUUAUGUGUUGUAGAUACAAUUGAUAAUGCAUAUUUAAAAGAAGAACAAUUGAAACAAGAUCAAACUAAUUCAACCAUAUCCUUAAUUGAACAUUGCAACAAGAUUAUGCAUGGACUGUAUUGUCAAACAUUGAUAUUUUUGUGUGAAUCUUGAUUCAAAGCUUUUAUGUACUUAUUUGGGUUGCAGAUAGAGUUCGAACCUGAAUAUCUGAUGGAAGAGUUUGGGACUAACCCAGAUAUUGAUGAGAAACCACCUAUGUCUCUUAGAGAUGCACUUGAGAAGGUGAAGCCUUUCCUCAUGUCAUAUGAAGGAAUUGAAAAUCAAG
RNAcentral lists this long non-coding RNA (1908 nucleotides) under Gossypium barbadense (sea-island cotton). Its description in RNAcentral is "long non-coding RNA (GBAR_LNC013045)". Lineage: Eukaryota; Viridiplantae; Streptophyta; Magnoliopsida; Malvales; Malvaceae. The record is from RNAcentral.